UGGGGAAUAUUGCACAAUGGGCGCAAGCCUGAUGCAGCCAUGCCGCGUGUGUGAAGAAGGCCUUCGGGUUGUAAAGCACUUUCAGCGAGGAGGAAGGUGGUGAACUUAAUACGUUCAUCAAUUGACGUUACUCGCAGAAGAAGCACCGGCUAACUCCGUGCCAGCAGCCGCGGUAAUACGGAGGGUGCAAGCGUUAAUCGGAAUUACUGGGCGUAAAGCGCACGCAGGCGGUUUGUUAAGUCAGAUGUGAAAUCCCCGGGCUCAACCUGGGAACUGCAUUUGAAACUGGCAAGCUAGAGUCUCGUAGAGGGGGGUAGAAUUCCAGGUGUAGCGGUGAAAUGCGUAGAGAUCUGGAGGAAUACCGGUGGCGAAGGCGGCCCCCUGGACGAAGACUGACGCUCAGGUGCGAAAGCGUGGGGAGCAAAACAGGAUUAGAUACCCUGGUAGUCCACGCUGUAAAACGAUGUCGAUUUUGGAGGUUGUGCCCUUGAGGCGUGGCUUCCGGAGCUAACGCGUUAAAUUGACCGCCUGGGGAGUACGGCCGCAAGGUUAAAACUC
Molecule: ribosomal RNA, 558 nt
Filed under: uncultured bacterium
Lineage: Bacteria
Description: partial 16S ribosomal RNA
Rfam family: Bacterial small subunit ribosomal RNA
Source: RNAcentral